Molecule: long non-coding RNA, 231 nt
Filed under: Elaeis guineensis (African oil palm)
Lineage: Eukaryota; Viridiplantae; Streptophyta; Magnoliopsida; Arecales; Arecaceae
Description: long non-coding RNA (EGUI_LNC037693)
Source: RNAcentral
UGUUGAUUAAUAUUAUUGAUUAAUUUAAAAAUUUUAAAUAUUCUACGGCAUCCAGCAUUCAUAGACCCGUCAGUUGAGCAAUGUAGAAUAUUCUACGAUAUUCGUAGAUAGAAAAUAUAUGAUUAAAUUAUAAAAAACUUUUUGAUUGAGGUUAGAUCGAAAUUACCACAUAAGUUCAAACGUACACCUACAUGUCUAACAUCUAUGAAAAAUCUACACGUUAAUCCCCUA